RNAcentral lists this ribosomal RNA (1528 nucleotides) under Klebsiella quasipneumoniae. RNAcentral's name for it is "bacterial SSU rRNA". It matches the Rfam family "Bacterial small subunit ribosomal RNA". Lineage: Bacteria; Pseudomonadati; Pseudomonadota; Gammaproteobacteria; Enterobacterales; Enterobacteriaceae. The record is from RNAcentral.
AGAGUUUGAUCAUGGCUCAGAUUGAACGCUGGCGGCAGGCCUAACACAUGCAAGUCGAGCGGUAGCACAGAGAGCUUGCUCUCGGGUGACGAGCGGCGGACGGGUGAGUAAUGUCUGGGAAACUGCCUGAUGGAGGGGGAUAACUACUGGAAACGGUAGCUAAUACCGCAUAAUGUCGCAAGACCAAAGUGGGGGACCUUCGGGCCUCAUGCCAUCAGAUGUGCCCAGAUGGGAUUAGCUAGUAGGUGGGGUAACGGCUCACCUAGGCGACGAUCCCUAGCUGGUCUGAGAGGAUGACCAGCCACACUGGAACUGAGACACGGUCCAGACUCCUACGGGAGGCAGCAGUGGGGAAUAUUGCACAAUGGGCGCAAGCCUGAUGCAGCCAUGCCGCGUGUGUGAAGAAGGCCUUCGGGUUGUAAAGCACUUUCAGCGGGGAGGAAGGCGAUAAGGUUAAUAACCUUGUCGAUUGACGUUACCCGCAGAAGAAGCACCGGCUAACUCCGUGCCAGCAGCCGCGGUAAUACGGAGGGUGCAAGCGUUAAUCGGAAUUACUGGGCGUAAAGCGCACGCAGGCGGUCUGUCAAGUCGGAUGUGAAAUCCCCGGGCUCAACCUGGGAACUGCAUUCGAAACUGGCAGGCUAGAGUCUUGUAGAGGGGGGUAGAAUUCCAGGUGUAGCGGUGAAAUGCGUAGAGAUCUGGAGGAAUACCGGUGGCGAAGGCGGCCCCCUGGACAAAGACUGACGCUCAGGUGCGAAAGCGUGGGGAGCAAACAGGAUUAGAUACCCUGGUAGUCCACGCCGUAAACGAUGUCGAUUUGGAGGUUGUGCCCUUGAGGCGUGGCUUCCGGAGCUAACGCGUUAAAUCGACCGCCUGGGGAGUACGGCCGCAAGGUUAAAACUCAAAUGAAUUGACGGGGGCCCGCACAAGCGGUGGAGCAUGUGGUUUAAUUCGAUGCAACGCGAAGAACCUUACCUGGUCUUGACAUCCACAGAACUUAGCAGAGAUGCUUUGGUGCCUUCGGGAACUGUGAGACAGGUGCUGCAUGGCUGUCGUCAGCUCGUGUUGUGAAAUGUUGGGUUAAGUCCCGCAACGAGCGCAACCCUUAUCCUUUGUUGCCAGCGGUCCGGCCGGGAACUCAAAGGAGACUGCCAGUGAUAAACUGGAGGAAGGUGGGGAUGACGUCAAGUCAUCAUGGCCCUUACGACCAGGGCUACACACGUGCUACAAUGGCGCAUACAAAGAGAAGCGACCUCGCGAGAGCAAGCGGACCUCAUAAAGUGCGUCGUAGUCCGGAUUGGAGUCUGCAACUCGACUCCAUGAAGUCGGAAUCGCUAGUAAUCGUAGAUCAGAAUGCUACGGUGAAUACGUUCCCGGGCCUUGUACACACCGCCCGUCACACCAUGGGAGUGGGUUGCAAAAGAAGUAGGUAGCUUAACCUUCGGGAGGGCGCUUACCACUUUGUGAUUCAUGACUGGGGUGAAGUCGUAACAAGGUAACCGUAGGGGAACCUGCGGUUGGAUCACCU